Long non-coding RNA from Carassius carassius (crucian carp), 933 nucleotides. RefSeq lists it as uncharacterized. The record is from RefSeq and is a predicted model, not a curated record. Lineage: Eukaryota; Metazoa; Chordata; Actinopteri; Cypriniformes; Cyprinidae. The transcript is spliced from 4 exons.
GGCGACCAGUGGUUGCUGGCAUUCCAGGGGGCAGUUCAUCACACAUACUAUGCACCACAAGUGAUGGUGAAAAAAGGGUGACAUAUACUGAUGGACGGAUUGUAUUAUUGGACUCUCCAGAAAGAACACAGUCUGUCACAGUUGAUGAAGAUGAUGAUGACGAUGAAGAGACCACAUCUGCUGUGACAGAAGUGGACAAUGCUGGUAGAUCCACUGAGUACAUACCUAGGGAUUUGCCCACUGAUAAGGGUCCUUCAGCCUCAGCACACAAUCUAAGCAGGGUAAGAACUUGUGUCCAUGUGUCCAUAUUUGAAUUUUAUUGUCUGACCAAACAAUCUCAUUUAUUACAUUUUUCCACCUUAGUUGCCAGCAAAGGAGCUGUAUAAGGUCCAUCUUCAAAAACAAAUAAGAAAAAGUGACAUGGAGAUGGACCUUAUACAGCUUCAAAUGGAACAGAAAAGGCUCCUCAUUAAAAAAGCAGCACUUGAAAUAGAAUUACUUGAGAAUCACCUUAAGGUGAGAACCUGUCUGAAUAUUAAUCUGUUGCAUGUUAAAAGUGGUCUGUCUGUCUGUCUGUGUCUGUCUCUAUCUAUCUAUCUAUCUAUCUAUCUAUCUAUCUAUCUAUCUAUCUAUCUAUCUAUCUAUCUAUCUAUCUAUCUAUCUGUAUGUAUGUAUGUAUGUGUAAAGCAAUAUAAAAAAAAAACAUUUUAAUGAAUUGUACUUUUUAAUUUUUUUUCAGGAAAUGAAGAAAUAAACUGCCUGGCAGACCAGUGCAAAAAAAAAUAAUAAAAGUAAUUUUGACAAAUCCUGUCUCUCAAAAGUCUUCCGUCUCUGUUGGCCUCUAAAAUCUGUCUGUGUUCCUCUGGGCCAUCUUCCUCAAUACAAGGAGGGUGGCUCUCUCCUCUUAUAGUGGCAAUAUUGUGAAGCACAACA